GUGUGCUUGCAGAGACUUCUGCCACAGGGGCUGGAACACAGGAAGCACAUGGCCGCACCAGCAGAGGUGUCUUUGCCUGUGACUCUCCACACAAAUGAGGGUCCUUUCCUCUUGAGAACCUGUGUCUUCACGCUGGCGCACUCUGGCUGAGUUCUCCUAACCUGGACCUGGGACCACAUGCCAUUAAGCACAUGUACCACACAUGGCAGGCAUAUCUGCACAGGGCAUUCUGAGGCCACAGGAGGAAUGAGGUUUGUUCUCUACUGGAAUGACAGUGGGAGUGGCAAGCCAUUUCUUCUCCCACUGCCAAUGCAGAGACACCCAUGCUGUCUCUGGCCUCCUGGAAUCAGCUUCCAGCUUCACUGGUUGCUGUUUGGUGCCAGAAGACUGCCUGUGACAGGAGAACAGCCUGGAGAACCCAGUCUUUUCUGGAAUUGUUCUUGCUCAGGUGGCAGACAGGGGCCACUCUCGAAGAAUCUGGCUUUUCCUCACAAGUCAGCAGUUCCCCUAGAGAAGAAACACCCGGGCUUGGCCAGCUUUGCUGGGCUGCUUGCCAUUCUCCUCUCACUUCACAUUCUGUCCUGCACUUUGUGCCAUGCCAUUUUCUUUCUCAGUGGAAUUCAAGCUCUGUGUAUACAGCAAGACGGAGGAGCGGCUGGUGGCACUCUCUGCAGUGGCAGAUGA
RNAcentral lists this long non-coding RNA (684 nucleotides) under Cricetulus griseus (Chinese hamster). RNAcentral's name for it is "lncRNA (ENSCGRG00000025566.1)". The record is from RNAcentral. Lineage: Eukaryota; Metazoa; Chordata; Mammalia; Rodentia; Cricetidae.